Molecule: non-coding RNA, 81 nt
Organism: Cordylochernes scorpioides
Lineage: Eukaryota; Metazoa; Arthropoda; Arachnida; Pseudoscorpiones; Chernetidae
Source: the annotation of a GenBank genome assembly
GGUUAGUUCAAAGAUUUUAAGGCUGGGUAAACCGUUUGGUUUUCGACCACUAGGACCCGGGUUCGAUUCCCGCAUUGGACA